UACGUAGGUGGCAAGCGUUAUCCGGAUUUACUGGGCGUAAAGGGUGUGCAGGCGGGGCUGUAAGUGGGGUGUGAAAUCUCCAGGCUUAACCUGGAGGGGUUAUGCCAGACUGCAGUUCUAGAGGGCGAGAGAGGGGGGUGGAAUUCCGGGUGUAGUGGUGAAAUGCGUAGAGAUCCGGAGGAACCCCAGAGGCGAAGGCGGCCCCCUGGCUCGUACCUGACGCUCAGCCACGAAAGCAUGGGGAGCGAACGGG
Molecule: ribosomal RNA, 253 nt
Filed under: uncultured bacterium
Lineage: Bacteria
Description: partial 16S ribosomal RNA
Rfam family: Bacterial small subunit ribosomal RNA
Source: RNAcentral